Small nuclear RNA from Aotus nancymaae (Ma's night monkey), 140 nucleotides. Its record names the gene U4. It matches the Rfam family "U4 spliceosomal RNA". From Rfam's summary of the family: U4 small nuclear RNA (U4 snRNA) is a component of the major U2-dependent spliceosome. The record is from Ensembl. Lineage: Eukaryota; Metazoa; Chordata; Mammalia; Primates; Aotidae.
AGUUUUGCACAGUGGCAGUAUCAUAGCCAAUGAGGUUUAUCCAAGGUGCGGUUAUUGCUGACGGAAAAUUUUUCCCAAUACCUCACCAUGACAACUUGAAAUAUAGUUGGCAUUGGUGAAAUAAAUAAAUUGCAGAGUAG